This 368-nucleotide ribosomal RNA is filed under the name uncultured Rhodoferax sp. RNAcentral describes it as "bacterial SSU rRNA". It matches the Rfam family "Bacterial small subunit ribosomal RNA", at positions 1013 to 1382 of the family's 1533-position model. Lineage: Bacteria; Pseudomonadati; Pseudomonadota; Betaproteobacteria; Burkholderiales; Comamonadaceae. The record is from RNAcentral.
GGCUCGAAAGAGAGCCGUAACACAGGUGCUGCAUGGCUGUCGUCAGCCCGUGUCGUGAGAUGUUGGGUUAAGUCCCGCAACGAGCGCAACCCUUGUCAUUAGUUGCUACAUUUAGUUGGGCACUCUAAUGAGACUGCCGGUGACAAACCGGAGGAAGGUGGGGAUGACGUCAAGUCCUCAUGGCCCUUAUAGGUGGGGGCUACACACGUCAUACAAUGGCCGGUACAAAGGGCUGCCAACCCGCGAGGGGGAGCCAAUCCCAUAAAACCGGUCGUAGUCCGGAUCGCAGUCUGCAACUCGACUGCGUGAAGUCGGAAUCGCUAGUAAUCGUGGAUCAGAAUGUCACGGUGAAUACGUUCCCGGGUCUU